Molecule: non-coding RNA, 23 nt
Filed under: Arabidopsis thaliana (thale cress)
Lineage: Eukaryota; Viridiplantae; Streptophyta; Magnoliopsida; Brassicales; Brassicaceae
Source: RNAcentral
UGCAAUUGUAAACGUGUAGGUGA